This 431-nucleotide ribosomal RNA is filed under the name Lachnoanaerobaculum saburreum. RNAcentral's name for it is "bacterial SSU rRNA". It matches the Rfam family "Bacterial small subunit ribosomal RNA", at positions 38 to 451 of the family's 1533-position model. Lineage: Bacteria; Bacillati; Bacillota; Clostridia; Lachnospirales; Lachnospiraceae. The record is from RNAcentral.
GGCGGCGUGCUUAACACAUGCAAGUCGAACGAAGCUGUUAAAAGGAAGUCUUCGGAUAGAAUUUUAACAGACUUAGUGGCGGACGGGUGAGUAACGCGUGGAUAACCUGCCUUAUACAGGGGGAUAACGGAGAGAAAUUUCCGCUAAGACCGCAUAAGACCACAGCACCGCAUGGUGCGGGGGUAAAAUAUUAAUAGGUAUAAGAUGGAUCCGCGUCCGAUUAGCUAGUUGGUGAGGUAGAGGCUCACCAAGGCGACGAUCGGUAGCCGGCCUGAGAGGGUGAACGGCCACAUUGGGACUGAGACACGGCCCAAACUCCUACGGGAGGCAGCAGUGGGGAAUAUUGGACAAUGGGGGAAACCCUGAUCCAGCGACGCCGCGUGAGUGAAGAAGUAUUUCGGUAUGUAAAGCUCUAUCAGCAGGGAAGAAAA